GACAGAGGGGGCAAGCGUUGUCCGGAAUCAUUGGGCGUAAAGGGUGCGUAGGCGGCGCGGUAAGUCGGGUGUGAAAUCUCGGAGCUUAACUCCGAAACUGCAUUCGAUACUGCCGUGCUUGAGGACUGGAGAGGAGACUGGAAUUUACGGUGUAGCGGUGAAAUGCGUAGAUAUCGUAAGGAAGACCAGUGGCGAAGGCGGGUCUCUGGACAGUUCCUGACGCUGAGGCACGAAGGUCAGGGGAGCAAACGGG
RNAcentral lists this ribosomal RNA (253 nucleotides) under uncultured bacterium. RNAcentral describes it as "partial 16S ribosomal RNA". It matches the Rfam family "Bacterial small subunit ribosomal RNA", at positions 524 to 776 of the family's 1533-position model. The record is from RNAcentral.